UGGCCCAUAUUUAUCAAAUGACCAAAAACAUCCAUCGACGUUGUCGGACGGCCGUGACUCUGCAAAUCGAUCGGUCUGCGAGACUGUGACUCUGCAAAUCCUGAUAAAUGGAGAAGAAGCAGACGACAUGGCCAGGCCGAUCGGACGGCCGUCGUUUCACGGCUUUUCCGUUAUGGAACACCAAGGGUAAAAAGCACCACGAGCUCCACCAGACGAAGCACAGCAAUCGAAUGUCCGGCAGAAGAGCAUCGUCGUCAUCUUCAACGGACGGUCGCGAUUUCUCGGCCCUGCCGUACGAAUUGAUAAUGAUAAUCGGGGUUUCGCUGAGCCACCCGAACCUCAGAGCGGCGUCGUUGGCGUGUAAGUCGUGGUACAAGGCACUUCGGCCGCUGAGACAGGCGAUGCUGUAUAUGAGGUGGGGAAAGCGGUUCAAGCACGGCCGAGGUGGGGUCCAGCCCAACAUGGACAAGGCUCUCGACGCGUUUCUGAAGGGCGCGGCUCUGGGGUCCACCAUGGCUAUGGUGGAUGCCGGGCUUAUAUACUGGGAGAGAGGCCUCAAGGACAAGGCCGUCGCUUUGUAUCAGAAAGCUGCAGACCUGGGUGACCUGGCUGGGAAGUGCAAUUUGGGAAUUUCUUAUCUGCAAGUUGAACCUCCAAAUCCAAAGGAAGCUGUAAAAUGGUUAUAUCAUGCAUCCAAUGAGGGUCAUACCCGUGCCCAGUACCAGCUUGCACUUUGUCUGCAUCACGGCCGUGGGGUUGAUUGUAACAUAAAAGAGGCGGCAAGAUGGUAUUUGAAAGCUGCAGAAGGUGGUUAUGUGCGUGCCAUGUACAAUGUAUCACUGUGUUACAAAUUUGAGGAAGGGUUAGCACACAGUCAUCACCAAGCAAGAAAAUGGAUGAAGAGAGCAGCCGAUCGUGGGCACAGUAAAGCUCAAUAUGAGCAUGGACUCGCUCUUUUUUCUGAAGGAGAAAAGAUAAAAGCUGUAGUCUACUUGGAACUUGCUACCCGAGGUGGGGAAAGUGCAUCCGCUCAUGUCAAGGAUGUGAUUCUUCAACAGCUUUCAGAAACUUCACGUGAUGAUGUAAUGCUUCUUGUUGACCAAUGGCGUGCUUUGCCCUCAUCUUCCUAAUGGUUGGAAAAUCAUCCCGUCAAUUCAUGCGACCAUUUUGGGCUGCAUAGUCUUCCUCUUUCUGAUGAGUGAUGGUAGUUUCUUGUAUUAGAUAUGGAGAAGAUCCCCCAGCUGCAGCUGUAUAUGUCUAGAAGUGUUGUGUUACUAACAACAGUUUAUGCACUUUUCUAAAAAUUUGACGUGAUUGGCGUAGAAGUAAUAUUGUUGCCGAAAUACUGGUUUUAGUUGUGCAUGCUUAUUAGUGCUAUUGCACAGAAAAUUUGCAAUGCUAACUUAGGAAGAGUGAGUUAGUAAUGAUCUCAAAAGAGUGUCAUCGGGGAAUUACUUGUGUCUAUAGAGGUUUUUUGAAGUCCAGCCAUGUUGCUUGUAUGAAGUGAAUUCACAAUAUCAAUCUGACAGUUCCAGGACUUGUUAAGGAUAGUCAGGAUUCACCUUGCAGAUAUUCAGUGGAGCAAAUGAUCCCUCAGCCUUUGAGAAUGACUCCAGUGUGGUACAGAUUCAGGUGAUAUAUUGCCUUCGCCACCAAUUCUCUCAACUUACGGUCUGUCCCUUCAAGAGCAGUCAACACCCUAGUCGGUUCCAAAGAGUUGGUAUUUCCAGAGUGUAAUCCAAGAUAGCAAAGGAUAAUCAGUCCAUGCAACUUUGAGUGUUCGGUGCCUCUUAGCAGUCGGUUAUGAUCCCGUGGGCCCCACCAAACCACAUUCCUCUGAAGUGGAAAGUGCCCCCUGCUCUGAUCAGAGCCACGGUUGCCCCAUCAUACAUGUUGUUUACAUUGAGAAAAACUGAAGGUAUAAUCCCCAGGACUGAGCAUAGCAUUGGCCCCUUCUUGGUGAAUCUCUCAAGAAAGCAGCUAAAUAUGAACAGAGCCAACAAGGCAAGCCACAUCCCAGAAACCUGAGUCUAAAAUAUCGAUAAUAUCGACGAAAUAUUAAAGAUAUUAUUUUUUUUU
This is an RNA transcript of Prunus dulcis (almond), 2079 nucleotides long. It is a transcript of the gene named F-box protein At1g70590, with no coding region annotated. Lineage: Eukaryota; Viridiplantae; Streptophyta; Magnoliopsida; Rosales; Rosaceae. The record is from RefSeq and is a predicted model, not a curated record. The transcript is spliced from 5 exons.